Molecule: non-coding RNA, 23 nt
Filed under: Cricetulus griseus (Chinese hamster)
Lineage: Eukaryota; Metazoa; Chordata; Mammalia; Rodentia; Cricetidae
Source: RNAcentral
GUCCAAUGAACGCAUAGUGAGGG